RNAcentral lists this ribosomal RNA (483 nucleotides) under uncultured bacterium. Its description in RNAcentral is "bacterial SSU rRNA". It matches the Rfam family "Bacterial small subunit ribosomal RNA", at positions 28 to 524 of the family's 1533-position model. The record is from RNAcentral.
GACGAACGCUGGCGGCGUGCUUAACACAUGCAAGUCGAACGGUGACCCAGGGCUUGCCCUGGUGAUCAGUGGCGAACGGGUGAGUAACACGUGGGCAACCUGCCCCUGACUUCGGGAUAACUCCUCGAAAGAGGAGCUAAUACCGGAUACGACCACUUCGGACAUCCGAUGGUGGUGGAAAGUUUUCGGUCAGGGAUGGGCCCGCGGCCUAUCAGCUAGUUGGUGGGGUAAUGGCCUACCAAGGCGACGACGGGUAGCCGGCCUGAGAGGGCGACCGGCCACACUGGGACUGAGACACGGCCCAGACUCCUACGGGAGGCAGCAGUGGGGAAUAUUGCGCAAUGGGCGAAAGCCUGACGCAGCGACGCCGCGUGAGGGAUGAAGGCCUUCGGGUUGGUAAACCUCUUUCAGCAGGGACGAAGCGAAAGUGACGGUACCUGCAGAAGAAGCACCGGCUAACUACGUGCCAGCAGCCGCGGUAAU